ACGGGUGAGUAACGCGUGGUCAACCUACCGUUGAGUGGGGGAGUAACUAGCCGAAAGGUUAGCUAAUACCGCAUACGUCUCCAGGGGCAUCCCUUGGCGAUAAAAGGAGCAAUCCGCUCGAUGACGGGACCGCGUCCCAUUAGCUAGAUGGUGGGGUAACGGCCUACCAUGGCACCGAUGGGUAGCUGGUUUGAGAGAGCGACCAGCCACACUGGGACUGAGAAACGGCCCAG
Molecule: ribosomal RNA, 233 nt
Filed under: uncultured bacterium
Lineage: Bacteria
Description: partial 16S ribosomal RNA
Rfam family: Bacterial small subunit ribosomal RNA
Source: RNAcentral